GACGAACGCUGGCGGCGUGCUUAACACAUGCAAGUCGAACGGAAAGGCCCUGCUUGCAGGGUACUCGAGUGGCGAACGGGUGAGUAACACGUGGGUGAUCUGCCCUGCACUUCGGGAUAAGCCUGGGAAACUGGGUCUAAUACCGGCUAGGAGCCAUUUUUAGUGUGAUGGUUGGAAAGUUUUUUGGGUGUAGGAUGAGCUCGCGGCCUAUCAGCUUGUUGGUGGGGUAAUGGCCUACCAAGGCGGCGGCGGGUAGCCGGCCUGAGAGGGUGGACGGCCACAUUGGGACUGAGAGACGGCCCAGACUCCUACGGGAGGCAGCAGUGGGGAAUAUUGCACGAUGGGCGCAAGCCUGAUGCAGCGACGCCGCGUGGGGGAUGACGGCGUUCGGGUUGUAAACUCCUUUCGCUAGGAACGAAGCUUUUUGUGACGGUACCUAGAUAAGAAGCACCGGCUAACUACGUG
RNAcentral lists this ribosomal RNA (465 nucleotides) under uncultured bacterium. RNAcentral describes it as "partial 16S ribosomal RNA". It matches the Rfam family "Bacterial small subunit ribosomal RNA", at positions 28 to 507 of the family's 1533-position model. The record is from RNAcentral.